This 253-nucleotide ribosomal RNA is filed under the name uncultured bacterium. Its description in RNAcentral is "partial 16S ribosomal RNA". It matches the Rfam family "Bacterial small subunit ribosomal RNA", at positions 524 to 776 of the family's 1533-position model. The record is from RNAcentral.
UACGUAGGGUGCGAGCGUUAAUCGGAAUUACUGGGCGUAAAGCGUGCGCAGGCGGUGAUGUAAGACAGGUGUGAAAUCCCCGGGCUUAACCUGGGAACUGCAUUUGUGACUGCAUCGCUGGAGUGCGGCAGAGGGGGAUGGAAUUCCGCGUGUAGCAGUGAAAUGCGUAGAGAUGCGGAGGAACACCGAUGGCGAAGGCAGCCCCCUGGGCUGACACUGACGCUCAGGCACGAAAGCGUGGGGAGCAAACAGG